Long non-coding RNA from Leopardus geoffroyi (Geoffroy's cat), 1056 nucleotides. RefSeq lists it as uncharacterized. The record is from RefSeq and is a predicted model, not a curated record. Lineage: Eukaryota; Metazoa; Chordata; Mammalia; Carnivora; Felidae. The transcript has 3 exons.
GAAAAUUAGAAGCCAUGCACAUGGCCGAUGGGAAUGUAACAUGAAGCUGUGCUGUGGAAAACAGUCUGGAGUUUCCUUAAAAUGGUGAUGAGAAUGUUUUGGUACCAGAUAGAGGCAGUUACACAGCGCUGUGGAGGUACCAAACGCCGCUGGAAGAUUGAUGUUAUGUUAUAUAAAUUUCACCUCCAUUAAAAAAGAAACAAACAAAAAACUAACAUCUGUGGAAUGUCCUGGUGAUAGCAGAAAUAGAAUCUGGAGAAACAGUGACUCACUCAGGUUUCCAGACAGACGACCAUGGAUACAAGUAGCCAUAACAAAUCUGACGAAUUCGCCGCCCAAGUGAGCAAAAGAAGGAGUGCCAGCCUCUAUGCUGCCAGAAACCCCGUGUCCACACGUUUCUUGGUAGACAUCCCUAAAUAUCAUCGCAGGGCAAAGCAGCUUUGAAAUCUGAAACCACUACUCAACAAUGAAAGUGCUGGAAACAGUCUGCAUCCUUUUCUCUUCCCAAGGUUGGGCCAAGGGAAAUGCUACGUUCAGAAAAGAUGAGCGUGUCAAAACCCCCGGUGAUUUCUAACGCUUGUGGAACACAUUGCAUAGGAGCAAUUUAGAUGACAAAGAGAGCACCCUUCAGUCCAGAUUUACACUGUGUUCCUAUUCACCGACACAUCAGCAAACAUUAUAAAUGCCUUGCCUGGGUAAUGAAUGGCUUCUGAGCGAGUUCCUGGGCUGGCAGCGGGUUUGAAAUUCUAUAGAGUCAGGCAAGGGGGAAGGUGACUAGGAUAGAAUUACGGGAAAGGAUUAAUGAGGGGGUGCUGGCUGAACAUACUGCUCUACUGUUCUCUCCGUCGCUAGACUGAGGACUCUCUGAUUUUUUGCCUCUAGGACUGUACUUUUAUAACUUGAAACAAGCCUCUUUAAACAAAUCUGCAUCAGGCAAUGUGUCAACACUUCAUUGGUUUCAAUAGAAUUAGUUUUCUAAAUGCUCUUUUCUGAAGCAAUUUUUGUACUUGAAAAUGCAUUACAAGGAACAUUUACUAUAACUACAGUACAGCGAUA